AUUUCCGGAGCUGAAAUUCAAAUAUGUUGAAGAGGAGCAGCCAGAAGAAUUCUUUAUACCAUACAUAUGGAGUGUGAUGUGCCAGGAAGCUCUAUUGCAUUGGAACGCUGAAAAUGUAAAACUCUUUUCAUCUAAUAAUGAAGAGUAAACUACUUUUGUUGUUUGCUGAUAACAAAGUUGUUUAGAUUAAGCUGUUUGUUUUGAGUGGUGACUGAUGGUCAAGGUGUCCCCCACCCCGUGGGUGGUUCGGGGAAGGUUUCCACCUUACCAGGGUCGAGACGCGGGGAAGUCAGUAAGUCUCGAACCUGUGAGUGCUACCGGUCGUGAUCCGAAUAAUAGAGUUUUGUGUUCUGCCGACGGGGUAAAUAAAGGAACGAACGACGA
Cephus cinctus (wheat stem sawfly) is the source of this 384-nucleotide long non-coding RNA. RefSeq lists it as uncharacterized. The record is from RefSeq and is a predicted model, not a curated record. NCBI's taxonomy places the organism in Eukaryota, Metazoa, Arthropoda, Insecta, Hymenoptera, Cephidae. The transcript is spliced from 2 exons.